UAGGCGGAUUAUUAAGUUAGAGGUGAAAUCCCAGGGCUCAACCCUGGAACUGCCUUUAAUACUGUUAGUCUUGAGUUCGAGAGAGGUGAGUGGAAUUCCUAGUGUAGAGGUGAAAUUCGUAGAUAUUUGGAGGAACACCAGUGGCGAAGGCGGCUCACUGGCUCGAUACUGACGCUGAGGUACGAAAGUGUGGGGAGCAAACAGGAUUAGAUACCCUGGUAGUCCACGCCGUAAACGAUGAAUGCCAGACGUCGGCAAGCAUGCUUGUUGGUGUCACACCUAACGGAUUAAGCAUUCCGCCUGGGGAGUACGGUCGCAAGAUUAAAACUCAAAGGAAUUGACGG
RNAcentral lists this ribosomal RNA (344 nucleotides) under uncultured bacterium. RNAcentral's name for it is "bacterial SSU rRNA". It matches the Rfam family "Bacterial small subunit ribosomal RNA", at positions 572 to 916 of the family's 1533-position model. The record is from RNAcentral.